AUUAAACGCUGGCGGCAUGCCUUACACAUGCAAGUCGAACGGCAGCACGGGGGCAACCCUGGUGGCGAGUGGCGGACGGGUGAGUAAUACAUCGGAACGUGCCCUGGAGUGGGGGAUAACGCAGCGAAAGCUACGCUAAUACCGCAUAUUCUGUGAGCAGGAAAGCAGGGGAUCGCAAGACCUUGCGCUUUGGGAGCGGCCGAUGUCGGAUUAGCUAGUUGGUGGGGUAAAGGCCUACCAAGGCGACGAUCCGUAGCGGGUCUGAGAGGAUGAUCCGCCACACUGGGACUGAGACACGGCCCAGACUCCUACGGGAGGCAGCAGUGGGGAAUUUUGGGACAAUGGGCGGAAGCCUGAUCCAGCCAUGCCGCGUGAGUGAAGAAGGCCUCGG
This 391-nucleotide ribosomal RNA is filed under the name uncultured bacterium. RNAcentral describes it as "bacterial SSU rRNA". It matches the Rfam family "Bacterial small subunit ribosomal RNA", at positions 29 to 420 of the family's 1533-position model. The record is from RNAcentral.